RNAcentral lists this ribosomal RNA (795 nucleotides) under uncultured bacterium. Its description in RNAcentral is "bacterial SSU rRNA". It matches the Rfam family "Bacterial small subunit ribosomal RNA", at positions 718 to 1500 of the family's 1533-position model. The record is from RNAcentral.
AAAGCAGCUCACUUGGCCAAUACAACGUGAGGCACGAAAGCGUGGGAGCAACAGAUUAGAUACCUGGUUAGUCCACGCCGUAACGAUGAGCACUUGGUGGUGAGAUUCGACCCUUCACUGUCGAGCUAACGCGAUAAGUGCUCCGCCUGGGACUACGACCGCAAGGUUGAAACUCAAAGGAAUUGACGGGACCCGCACAAGCGGUGGAACAUGUGGUUUAAUUCGAUGCAACGCGAAGAACCUUACCUGGGCUUGACAUGUCAGUGAAAUCUUGGUGAAAGCCGAGACCUCCACGACUUCGGUCAAGGACACUGUCACAGGUGGUGCAUGGCUGUCGUCAGCUCGUGUCGUGAGAUGUUGGGUUAAGUCCCGCAACGAGCGCAACCCUUGUCCUUAGUUGCCAGCACGUUAUGGUGGGGACUCUAAGGAGACUGCCUGGGAUAACCAGGAGGAAGGUGGGGAUGACGUCAAGUCCGUAUGUCCCUUAUGUCCAGGGCUACACACGUGUUACAAUGGCCGGUACAAAGGGUCGCGAACCCGCGAGGGGAAGCCAAUCCCAUAAAACCGGUCUCAGUUCGGAUUGGAGUCUGCAACUCGACUCCAUGAAGCAGGAAUCGCUAGUAAUCGCGCAUCAGCACGGCGCGGUGAAUACGUUCCCGGGUCUUGUACACACCGCCCGUCACGCCAUGGAAGCCGGUAGUACUCGAAGCAGGUGGCCCAACCCCGACACUCGUGUCAGGGGGGGAGCCUACGAAGGUAAGAUUGGUAACUGGGGCGAAGUCGUAACAAGGUAGC